RNAcentral lists this ribosomal RNA (439 nucleotides) under uncultured bacterium. RNAcentral describes it as "bacterial SSU rRNA". It matches the Rfam family "Bacterial small subunit ribosomal RNA", at positions 8 to 448 of the family's 1533-position model. The record is from RNAcentral.
AGAGUUUGAUCCUGGCUCAGAUUGAACGCUGGCGGCAUGCCUUACACAUGCAAGUCGAACGGCAGCACGGGAGUAAUCCUGGUGGCGAGUGGCGAACGGGUGAGUAAUACAUCGGAACGUGUCCUGUAGUGGGGGAUAGCCCGGCGAAAGCCGGAUUAAUACCGCAUACGAUCUACGGAAGAAAGCGGGGGAUCGCAAGAACCUCGCGCUAUAGGGGCGGCCGAUGGCAGAUUAGCUAGUUGGUGGGGUAAAGGCCUACCAAGGCGACGAUCUGUAGCUGGUCUGAGAGGACGACCAGCCACACUGGGACUGAGACACGGCCCAGACUCCUACGGGAGGCAGCAGUGGGGAAUUUUGGACAAUGGGGGAAACCCUGAUCCAGCAAUGCCGCGUGUGUGAAGAAGGCCUUCGGGUUGUAAAGCACUUUUGUCCGGAAAGA